UUUGCAUUCGUCCUGAAAUAAGCAAACAACAAGUGAUAAUUAGAAAGGCAAACAAGUAAAAAAAUCUAACAUAUUUAUACCAAAAGAUUAAGUUCCUCACAACAAAGUUUUUAAUUUCAAGAUUUAAGUCAUGGAAAAUGAGAAGGAAAGGAAAAAACAAAUUUGUUUGUUUAAAUAAUAGCAACAUGGAGUAUGAUUUAUUCUUACCCUAGCAAAUCCAGGUUUCAUACUUUCGGAAAGAACAACGGGGGAUUCACUUCUGUUCUACACAUCAACGCCUUCCAUAUCAUCAACGGGGGAUUUAUUUAAGAAGUACUGCCAUUAAGCAUCAUAAGAGCUUUAUUAUACAUACAAAUGUAGUAAUCUAGGUUUAGGGUUCAUAAACAAAUCUUAGGUAUCCGGAAUUAUAUAUACCACCAUGAAUUAGAUAGAAAUUUAAGGCCAAUGUUCUCUAGCAAGCUCAUUUUUUAGCCAACAUCAACUAGUUGGCAAAUCCAAGAAUAAUCUUCCGGUAUGCAUAGCCACUCAACUGUGCAUUUACCUUAUAAUUGAAAUCCUUAAAGUCCAGCACAAACAAAAUUGUUUAACUACUUUAGUCACCACAAGCUGAUAAAGGGUCCUAAUAUUUUGAUGGAAAACAAGAAAUGUUGUUUCUCAAUGAAAUAUAAUCAACGAAGCCAACAUAUAUCCCAAAACACCGUCAGUUCAUUGAAAUCAUUUACAAUUGAUCUAGUAUCACUCUCUCACAAAGGGGAAAGAAAUUAAGCAAAGCAUGUAACAUAUUAAGAUAUUAAAAUCAUACUAUUAUAAAUGUUAAUCUGCAAACCAUGAAGCAUCAACCAGUGACAAGAAACACAAGUCACUUGGCCUAAUGCAAAUACCAAAACCAAUCAUAUGCAUUGAAUUCAAUAAAUCAAAAGCAAAUUCAGAAAAUUUCAAGAUCAACUAAGCAAGCAUCAAAGAAGAACAAAGUUUCAGUCUCCAUUUCAAGAAUAUUUCAAUUUUCAACUAAAUAGGAUCAAAGCAUAUACCUAGAUAAAUCUGCAUGAGCAGCCAAUUAACCACGGCUCAGCCAUGGACGCUCCUAAUCCAUGAGCAAUCUGCAUCCUCCUCCCAUCUCCUCCGACUCCGCCCAACCUGUUCCCCAAUCAAAUUUUCUCCCAGCUUCAGAAAAUCUCAACCAACCCAUCACCAAUUUGAAAAAUAAUCUAAACAGAUCUAAAAUACUUCAAAAACAUAUGCAGGCAUCCACCAAACUUUAAUGAACAAAGUAAGCUGUCAAUGGCAUUAAUCAAUUUGAAGAAAUAGCAAUUUCUUCGCCAUUGGGACAUCCGUACAGCUCUUGAAAAAAAUGCGAAACUAAUUCCAUCCAUGGAAUGUAAUAUGCCAGUAAAUUAGCAGUAUUAUUCCAUCUAAUGUAAAUAUUGAGGUCACUAACACUCAGAUCUUGAUUAAAAAUAAUAAGUCUCUUAAACAUUGACAUAAAUAACACAAAAUAGGUUCAAUUUGCUAGACAAAUAUUCAGAUUAGAUGCUAAAGGAUGUAGACCUAAGCAAUUCUUACUUAGCAAGCAGAGAAUUUGAAUCUGAAUAAUAAAGCUAAAGGAUAUAGUAAUCUCAAAAGAAUGCAAAUGCCAAUAAUUGCCCUGUCAACAACGGACUGUUAUGCUUAAUAGUAAAAGGAGAAUUAUAUGAAUCCACAAAUAGAAAUGAAAAGGUCUAACCAACAAAAUAAUUCUGAUCGUAUAGCACAUCCCCACUACAUCUCCGUUUGUGCUUUAUGUAGCUUUGCAGUUGGCACUACGUGGUUAAUUCUUGUGUGCUACUCGUUCCUCUUAUUGAGAUGAUGCUUUUUAGUAUAAAACCUAAUGCAGUAAAAUAAAUCUGAAAGCAGAACACACAAAUAAAUCUGAGACUUUUUUUCUUGAAGAAGUUGCUGAACUAUUAGCCAUACCAGUAGCAAUAAAUCUGAAAGCAGAACACACAAUUUUCUUUAAAUUGUAGAAAUAAUUCGAACACCAAAUAUGACGAUUUUGGUUAACUAAUUUCCUUCAAUUUCGAUUAAACUCUAAUUUGAGACUUUGGGUGGAUGAUGUGUCACUCACUCAACCUCUGGACUUAACUUUCUCUCUGCAGCAAGAGAUCAACAGAUGCAACAAGAGUCUUAUAUAAUAGAAAAGCCACCAACAUAUGAAAUAAAAAGCCAGAGCUUCAACCUGCAAAUUCAGAAGCUAAAACAGCUGGAAAAACUACUCACAUCAACGAAGGAAAACGAGACAAUAUGUUUUCAAGUUUUAAAAUUAUUAGAAGCUCUUCAAGAGCUGCAGUUGACACAUUCUUUUUGUUAACAGAAAAGGCUCUUGCAAAUAUAAAACAAGGUGCAAAUUAGAAGAAAAAAUGUAAAUUGCCUCACAACAUGCAUUUAUCUCCAUUAACAUCUAAAAGCAUAGUGAAUAAAAGUAUAGUUGGAGGCUUGGAGCCACUCACUUACACCUAUUCUAAAUCGACGGUGAACUGUGGAAUAUGAGGAGAGGUUGACCGAAUCUGAAAAUUUGGGGCUUUCUGUAAAAAAUUUAGGGCUUUUGUUUUUCAAUGGGAAUUGGGAAAAUUAGAGACGAGAUAGAGAGGGAAAGCUUACCAGCGGCGGCCUCACCGGAAGCUCACGGCCGAAACGGCAGAUGGAGGAUGAGAGGAGAAUUAGGGCUUUCCCCCUUUACUACCUCGAUUAUGUGGAGUUGAGAAGAGAACCGGCCGUNACU
RNAcentral lists this long non-coding RNA (2758 nucleotides) under Salvia miltiorrhiza (redroot sage). RNAcentral describes it as "long non-coding RNA (SMIL_LNC004775)". Lineage: Eukaryota; Viridiplantae; Streptophyta; Magnoliopsida; Lamiales; Lamiaceae. The record is from RNAcentral.